Molecule: unclassified non-coding RNA, 2634 nt
Filed under: Hevea brasiliensis (rubber tree)
Lineage: Eukaryota; Viridiplantae; Streptophyta; Magnoliopsida; Malpighiales; Euphorbiaceae
Source: RNAcentral
UUUUCUCCUUGCUGCAAAUGGUCUGUUGGUGCUUUUCAUUGCUAUCAACCUCUUUAAACUGUACUAUGGUGAUGACUGGGCUGGUCUUUUUGAGGCUAUAACUGGUUAUGGUCUUGGAGGAUCUUCCAUGGCCCUCUUUGGCAGAGUGGGGGGAGGUAUCUACACCAAAGCUGCUGAUGUUGGUGCUGAUCUUGUUGGCAAGGUAGAAAGGAACAUUCCUGAGGAUGACCCGAGGAAUCCAGCUGUGAUUGCUGAUAAUGUUGGUGAUAAUGUUGGGGAUAUAGCUGGUAUGGGAUCGGACCUUUUUGGCUCAUACGCAGAGUCUUCUUGUGCUGCCUUAGUUGUUGCUUCCAUUUCCUCUUUUGGAAUUAAUCAUGAAUUGACUUCAAUGCUAUACCCUCUUAUAAUCAGUUCUGUGGGUAUCCUUGUUUGUUUGCUCACCACCUUGUUUGCAACUGAUUUCUUUGAGAUCAAGGCUGUAAAGGAAAUUGAGCCAGCUUUGAAAAAGCAGCUCAUCAUUUCAACUGUUCUUAUGACUGUUGGAAUUGCCAUUGUUAGUUGGAUUGCUCUUCCAUCUUCCUUCACCAUCUUCAAUUUCGGGACUCAGAAAGUUGUUAAGAACUGGCAACUUUUCUUGUGUGUUGCUGUUGGUCUCUGGGCUGGGCUGAUUAUUGGAUUUGUAACUGAGUACUUCACUAGCAAUGCAUACAGCCCUGUUCAAGAUGUUGCUGAUUCCUGCCGAACUGGAGCUGCCACUAAUGUUAUUUUUGGGCUUGCUUUGGGAUAUAAAUCUGUCAUUAUCCCAAUUUUUGCCAUUGCAGUCAGCAUUUUUGUCAGUUUCAGCUUUGCUGCUAUGUAUGGUAUUGCAGUAGCUGCCCUUGGAAUGCUGAGCACCAUCGCCACUGGAUUGGCAAUUGAUGCAUAUGGUCCCAUUAGUGAUAAUGCUGGAGGUAUUGCUGAGAUGGCAGGCAUGAGCCACAGAAUCCGUGAGAGGACUGAUGCCCUUGAUGCUGCAGGAAACACCACUGCUGCUAUUGGAAAGGGUUUUGCCAUUGGUUCUGCAGCUCUUGUGUCCCUUUCCCUCUUUGGUGCCUUUGUUAGCCGUGCUUCAAUUUCAAAAGUAGAUGUGUUGACACCAAAAGUUUUUAUUGGUUUGAUUGUUGGUGCAAUGCUUCCCUACUGGUUUUCUGCUAUGACAAUGAAGAGUGUGGGGAGUGCAGCCCUGAAGAUGGUUGAGGAGGUCCGUAGGCAAUUCAACACCAUCCCUGGUCUGAUUGAGGGCACUGCCAAGCCAGACUAUGCUACCUGUGUUAAGAUCUCCACUGAUGCUUCCAUCAAAGAGAUGAUCCCACCUGGUGCACUUGUCAUGCUCACCCCCCUCAUUGUUGGGAUCUUUUUUGGUGUGGAAACUCUCUCUGGUGUUCUAGCUGGAGCACUCGUAUCUGGUGUUCAGAUUGCCAUCUCUGCAUCCAACACUGGUGGUGCUUGGGAUAAUGCCAAGAAGUACAUUGAGGCUGGCGCUUCUGAACAUGCAAGAGCUCUUGGUCCUAAAGGGUCAGAUCCACACAAAGCAGCUGUUAUUGGUGACACCAUCGGGGAUCCAUUGAAGGACACAUCUGGGCCAUCACUCAACAUCCUUAUCAAACUUAUGGCAGUUGAAUCACUUGUGUUUGCUCCAUUCUUUGCUACACAUGGAGGGCUACUCUUCAAGAUAUUUUAAGUGGGGACGAGAAGCAAACAUAAAAUGGUCCACCUAGUCAUCACGUCUGGUGCUUCUUCUUCUUCUUCUUCAUAUCCUUGUCAUUUUGCUCCCAAAAUAUAUGUAGUCUGUAGUUGAUGUUGACUCUUGAAAAUUUCGCUUUCAAAAGGGUGAGUGAUGACAACAACAUGGCAAUGGUUAGUGAAAGAGCAUUAUUUCUUUUAUUUAUAUAUAUAUUUUUAGCUAGAAUUCAUUUUUCCAAUUUUUAAUUUUCAUGCAGUUGUAUCUUGGAUUCUUGGUUUCUGCAAUUCUUACCCUAUCUAUCGCAUCAUGAGGCAUGAGAUGUGCAAUUUGCAAACUUAGGCAUUUUGAUCAUUUGAUGUGAAAUAAAGUUUCUAUGGCAAUUCAGCAGCUGGUUUAGUUUUACAGUAACCUGAGUUGCUGUUCACGGUUUUCUUGUUCUUCUGAGGGAUACACCUUGGAUAUAUUCUCUUUUUGCGGAAACUUGGAGAAUCCAGCUAAAUACAAUCAACUUGUGAGGAAAAGAUAUUAUAAUCAGUGCUCAAACAUUGUAUAUGUCAAUGUAGCCAAGAAACUUUCUCCAGCUUGUUGAAGAAUCCAAUAGUGUUAAUGAGACAUGUUUCUGGAUAUAGUUCAUGAUGUGCAUUGAUGACAGAGAAUGAUGUGGCCAAAGCUGAAAGCUCUUGAAGGACAUGAGGAAGUUCAUGCAUGUAAAUAUAUGUUAGUGUGAGUAGGGGUGUUCAGUUCUGGUUCGGUUUGGGAUUUGUCUAGAAAUCAGAAUCGAAUCAAAAUUUCGGUAUGGUUUCAGUACAGUUCUUCAUUGUUUCUAUUCCAGUUCAGUACGGUUCUCAAUUCUUCGGUUUUGAUUCUGUUCGGUACAGUUUCAGUUAUGUUUUCGGUUCUUAAAAUAAUUU